CUGAUUGGUCGACAGGUGACAGGUGUCAAUCAUCCACACUCUGUGUUGUUUUAGCCUUAGCAGCACCGCUAGCUACUGCUAAUGCAUUCACACUUUAGGGAUUAAAUGAAAAGUUUCAAGAAGUUAAGACAAAAGCAGAAGGAUUGAUUGCUUACCGCUCUUUGGUGAGGAAAAAAUAGAAGAACAAAAGGUUGAGCGUGAGUGGCGGGAAGCAGCGCCAAAGAGAGGCAGCACGGGGGACUGCUAGAGUUGGACCUACACUGCACAGCCAGCACCACUGGACUUACUGAACUCCAUGACAUCCACACCAAGCGCACUACUGUUCUCCACGCCCUUCCUGUGUAUCUGCGCGAGGACGUCUCUGGAUUUUUAAGAACCUGCACAGACGAGUCUGAUGAGCCAGAGCUUGAUGAUGUUGCAGUGGCCCUCCUUAGUGUCGUUAGUGACCAUGACACAAGUCCAGUCACUACCAGCCUGUGAAAAUCUCUGUCAUCAUUGAAAGUGAUGCCAUGGUCAGUCUCCCCAGAUUUGGCGAUGCCUUCCUGGUAAUGUUUGGACUGAUCUAUGUACUACACCUCAGCUAUCCCAAAUCACUGACCAACACUUUUGAAUUCACUCAAAAGAUUUUACUUGGUCUAGAAAGUGGUAAACUGUCACCCAGGUUGCAGUCCCUCAAGAAUGACUUGAUGAUGUAGAAACUCAACUCAUCUGAAAGAAGGAUGCAGGGUAAAGUUCUUUCCUUUUGUCUAAAUAAUGCAAAAAGUAAUUGCACUACUCUGCAGGUGUUCAGCCAUAAGGCCCGAAUUACACAAUGUGCCUUUGUUCUCAUUAUAAUGCAAAAGUUAUGCUAAUGUUUUAAUGUUUUUCUUAAUGGUAUUUCUCAGCCAUUGUGGGCUGCGCAAGAUGACCUAAAUUUCACUCUGCAUUUGAUACUGGUUAAUGAUUCAGAGUUUUAAGUGAAAAUGUUCUUAAACAGUCUGUAGCAUUUUUGUAACUGCAUCCAUUGCUGCCCUAUUGCCUUACUAGCAACACGUUAAGGCUUUUUUUUGUUUGUUGUUGUUUUGUUUGUUUUUUUGUAUAGCUGUAACAAAAGAAUAUUUCAUCUUUGUAUUAUUUAUCAUUAUUUUGGAUUACUCUGGUUAUUUUCCUG
This is a long non-coding RNA of Larimichthys crocea (large yellow croaker), 1150 nucleotides long. RefSeq lists it as uncharacterized. The transcript is spliced from 4 exons. Lineage: Eukaryota; Metazoa; Chordata; Actinopteri; Sciaenidae. The record is from RefSeq and is a predicted model, not a curated record.